AAGCAUAGUUGGGAAACUUCUCUAAAUGUUUAUGACAGCUUGUCGAACAUCCUCGCGAGCCAUCAUCAGAACUUCAUGCUGGGUUUUGUUUUGUUUAUGUUCCAUUUGGAUUACCAAACGCAAGGACUCAUCUGGUUCUUUUGAACUGUAAAAGCUCCUACCGAGAUCCGCUCGCACCACAAACGAGGCCCCUCGGACCUUAUCACUUUGAACAAAAGAGCUCCGCCUCUUGUGUGUACUCGAGAGCGGCGGAGGGCGGCGCGCAUCCCCAAAUAUCAGCGACGGCAGGUUGAAAGGCGCAAAAUAAGCUCGGCUGGGUGAAGAUGCACCAACUGACGGAAACACUAUCUGUCCGAAACGCUAUCAUGUCAAACUCAAAAGGUGCUCACUAUUUCCCCUCCAUUUUGGGCUCUGCUUCCGCAAGUUGAAGAUGCUCACCGAGUAGCGACACCCGCGAACCAGGGAUGUACUUGUUUUGACAUGUGUGCA
This is a long non-coding RNA of Phycodurus eques (leafy seadragon), 489 nucleotides long. RefSeq lists it as uncharacterized. Lineage: Eukaryota; Metazoa; Chordata; Actinopteri; Syngnathiformes; Syngnathidae. The record is from RefSeq and is a predicted model, not a curated record. The transcript is spliced from 4 exons.